RNAcentral lists this non-coding RNA (301 nucleotides) under Ricinus communis (castor bean). RNAcentral's name for it is "Bacterial small subunit ribosomal RNA". It matches the Rfam family "Bacterial small subunit ribosomal RNA", at positions 950 to 1385 of the family's 1533-position model. The record is from Rfam by way of RNAcentral. Lineage: Eukaryota; Viridiplantae; Streptophyta; Magnoliopsida; Malpighiales; Euphorbiaceae.
AUGGGGGUUUAGGCAUACGGAGGAUGAGUCAGAAUAAUGAAGCUUUUCUUAUGUUAUGAAGCUCGGGUGGGGAAUAUUGACUCUUCCUAAUGCGCUAUGGGUGAAGGUGUUACGUAGUAAAUACAUGAGAGAGGAGGUUGGUCAAUGGCCGGGACAAAGGGUCACGAUCCCGCGAGGAUGAGCUAACUCCAAAAACCCGUCCUCAGUUCGGAUUGCAGGCUGCAACUCGCCUGCAUGAAGCCGGAAUCGCUAGUAAUCGCCGGUCAGCCAUACGGCGAUGAAUUCGUUCCCGGGCCUUGUA